AUCAAUUGGUUAGUUUUCAGUCUGAAAUGUAAGUAUAUUUUGCUUGUUAUUGUCGCUGUUUGGAAAAUGGUGUACACUAUCUAGGUAUAUAAUAGUACUGGGACUGGCCAGAACAGCUCAAAAUUAGAUUCCACACUCAGGAUCAUUAAUCAAGUCAUUUUACCUCAAUAGAAUUGUUUGAAAUCCUUUUAGAGCUAGAUUUUAUACUUGUCAUUAUAGUCAUAUUAUGUGCCAUUGACUUUCAGAGGCCACAGCAUCCUUAUUUCUUGCUGGAACAACUUUAAACUUCUGGAGUAUAUUCUUCUAGCUACUAUCUUGUUGUAAGCAAAUGGACAAGAAGCU
This is a long non-coding RNA of Amphimedon queenslandica, 342 nucleotides long. RefSeq lists it as uncharacterized. NCBI's taxonomy places the organism in Eukaryota, Metazoa, Porifera, Demospongiae, Haplosclerida, Niphatidae. The transcript is spliced from 2 exons. The record is from RefSeq and is a predicted model, not a curated record.